This 464-nucleotide ribosomal RNA is filed under the name uncultured bacterium. Its description in RNAcentral is "bacterial SSU rRNA". It matches the Rfam family "Bacterial small subunit ribosomal RNA", at positions 339 to 794 of the family's 1533-position model. The record is from RNAcentral.
CUACGGAAGGCAGCAGUGAGGAAUUUUUCGCAAUGGGGGAAACCCUGACGAAGCAACGCCGCGUGGAGGAUGAAGGCCUUCGGGUUGUAAACUCCUGUCGACCGGGACGAAAGUUAUCUGACCUAACACGUCAGGUAAUCGACUGUACCGGUGGAGGAAGCCACGGCUAACUCUGUGCCAGCAGCCGCGGUAAUACAGAGGUGGCAAGCGUUGUUCGGAAUUACUGGGCGUAAAGGGCGCGUAGGCGGUCUUGUAAGUCUCGUGUGAAAUCCCUCGGCUUAACUGAGGAACUGCACGAGAUACUGCGAGACUUGAGAUCGGGAGAGGGAAGCGGAAUUCCGGGUGUAGCGGUGAAAUGCGUAGAUAUCCGGAGGAACACCGGUGGCGAAGGCGGCUUCCUGGACCGACACUGACGCUGAGGCGCGAAAGCUAGGGGAGCAAACGGGAUUAGAUACCCCGGUAGC